This 1125-nucleotide ribosomal RNA is filed under the name Triticum aestivum (bread wheat). Its description in RNAcentral is "partial small subunit ribosomal RNA". The record is from RNAcentral. Lineage: Eukaryota; Viridiplantae; Streptophyta; Magnoliopsida; Poales; Poaceae.
AUGGAUAUUGCCAUCUUUAAUUGGAACGUGAGAGGUUUGGGUUGUCCUGCCAAGCGAAGAGCGGUUGCAAAAUUGAUUGCUGAGAAGCGCUGCAACAUUGUUUGUUUGCAAGAAAUCAAAGUUCAGCUGAUUGACAGGGCCUUUGUUGCUGAAGCUGCUGGUAUCAAAUUCUGUGAUAAUUUCAUCUGCUUACCUGCUACAGGCUCGAGGGGUGGAAUUUUGAUUGCUUGUUCAGAUAAUUUUUCCAUCUCUAGAGAGCUGGCUGCCCAAGGUGUUCAUUCCAUCACUGGGACGAUAACUGAUAAAUCCAGCAAUCUGUCCUGGUCAAUUACCUCUGUUUAUGGUCCCCAGCUUGAUUCUGACAAGAUUAUGUUCCUCCAAGAAAUCCGGGAUCUUGUGCCAAUGGUCAAGAAGGAGUGGCUGAUUAUUGGAGAUUUUAAUUUGAUUGCAAGGGCUGCUGACAAGAGUAAUAACCUCAUUAAUCUCCCAAUGCUUGGCCGGUUCAGAAGCUUGAUUGACUCCUUACGGCUUCGGGAAAUGCCUCUGUCUGGAAGGCGCUUUACAUGGUCCAAUGAAAGAGAACAAACUACUCUCACCAGGAUAGACAAGCUGCUCUUCACUGUGGACUGGGAAACAAUGUUCCCACAAUACCACCUGUCUCCUGCUUCAAUGGCUAUCUCUGACCACUGCCCGCUUAUUAUGAAGAAGAUGGAGCUUAAAAGAUGCAAACCUUUCAGAUUUGAGUCCUUCUGGCUGGGGCUGCAGGGCCUGGAUGAGAUUGUUGCUGACGCCUGGAGAAAACCUUUGCAUUCCUCAGACCCAAUUAGAAACUUCCAUGCUAGGCUUUCCAGAACAGCCACGGCCCUCAAGAAAUGGAGCAGGGAUAUGAGAAAGAAGGCUAGCUUGGCCACUGACAUUGCAAAUGAGGUGAUAUUCCAACUAGACCUGGCAAUGGAGCAUAGAGAGCUCACUGUUGAGGAGUGGGCCCUUAGGAGGAACCUUAAGUCCAAACUUCUGGGAAUCGCUGCCUUAGAAUGGAUCAGAUGGAAACAGAGAUCCAGGCUAACCACCAUCAGAUCGGGUGAUGCUAGUACAAAAUUCUUCCACCUAACGGCUAAUGGCUGA